CGGGUGGGUAAUACAUCGGAACGUGUCUUCUUGUGGGGGAUAACUGCCCGAAAGGGCAGCUAAUACCGCAUGAGGCCUGAGGGUGAAAGCGGGGGAGUCGCAAGACCUCGCGCUGGAAGAGCGGCCGAUGUCCGAUUAGCUAGUUGGUGAGGUAAAGGCUCACCAAGGCGACGAUCGGUAGCUGGUCUGAGAGGACGACCAGCCACACUGGGACUGAGACACGGCCCAG
This 229-nucleotide ribosomal RNA is filed under the name uncultured bacterium. RNAcentral describes it as "partial 16S ribosomal RNA". It matches the Rfam family "Bacterial small subunit ribosomal RNA", at positions 103 to 334 of the family's 1533-position model. The record is from RNAcentral.